AUGGAAAAAGGGCCAGAAGUGUUUCUCUGCCAAGUCAAUAACAUACUCAUGGAUGCUCCUGAGGAUUUUAAAACUCCUCCACAAAUACAGAUACUACUGUUCGAAUAUGCAGAUCUUUUUGAAGAACCUAAGACCCUAUCUCCUCAGAGAGCUCUAGACCACAAAAUUCCUUUAGUAGAAGGAGCCACACCACCUCAAGUCAGACCUUACAAAGUUCCUCAGCACCAAAAGAAAGAAAUGGAAGAGCAAAUAAAGAAACUGUUGGCUGCACAUUUGAUAAAGCACAGCCAAAGUCCUUUUGCUGCACCAGUUUUAUUGGUCAAGAAAAAAGAUGGAUCUAUGAGGUUAUGUACUGACUACAGAAAAUUGAAUGCCCUCACAAUUAAGAAUAAAUUUCCUAUACCAGUUAUAGAAGAUUUAUUGGAUGAGCUCCAUGGUGCUAAAUAUUUCACUAAAUUGGAUUUGAGGUCUGGAUAUCAUCAAAUUAGAAUGUGCCCUGAAGAUAUACCAAAGACUGCAUUCAGAACAUUUUUGGGACAUUUUGAAUAUUUGGUAAUGCCAUUUGGCCUUUCCAAUGCCCCUGGCACAUUCCAAGAGUUAAUGAACACAGUUUUUGCUCCUUACCUAAGGAAGUUUGUAUUGGUAUUUUUUGAUGAUAUACUAAUAUUCAGCAAAAGUCUCAAGGAGCACUUGGAGCAUAUCAAACUGGUAAUGGAGUUACUAAGAGAACAUCAACUCUAUGCAAAGAUGUCCAAAUGUGUUUUUGCAGUGCAGAAAGUAGAGUACUUGGGCCAUGUCAUUUCUGAGAAAGGAGUAGCAACAGAUCCACAAAAAAUUGCAGCUAUUGCAGAGUGGCCAAUUCCUGAAAAUAUUACUAAACUCAGAAGUUUUCUGGGAUUGGCUGGGUACUACAGGAGGUUUAUUAAAGGCUAUGGGGUAAUCUGCAGGCCUUUGCAUGAUUUGCUGAAGAAGGGGAAAUUCCAGUGGCAACCUGAACACAACACAACAUUCCAACACUUAAAACAAGCACUGACAUCAGCUCCUGUGUUGGCCUUGCCAGAUUUCACACAACCUUUUGUGUUGGAAACAGAUGCUUGUGGCAAAGGUAUUGGGGCAGUUCUCAUGCAACAGGGGAGGCCAAUAUCUUAUUACAGUUUUUCUCUCUGCCCUAGGAAUGCAGCUCUGUCUACAUAUGAAAAAGAGGCUUUAGCUAUAUUGGAAGCCCUUAAGAGAUGGAGGCACUAUUUACUGGGCAAGGAAGUGAUUAUCAGAACUGAUCAACAGUCACUGAAAUUAAUCACUGACCAGAAAAUCACUGAAGGAGUUCAACAUAAACUCAUGAUGAAAUUGCUGGAAUUUAAUUUCACAAUACAGUAUAAGAAGGGAAUCCAGAACAGGGUAGCAGAUGCUUUAUCCAGGCUACUCCCUCAGUGCAUGGCCAUAUCUUCUGUUACUCCUGUCUGGGCAGAAGAACUGAUAGAAAGUUACAAAAAGGACCCUGACAGGCUGCAGUUGCUGGAGAAGUUACUCCUUCAGAAAAACCAUACAUUGUCAGACUAUUCUUUAACAGAUGGCAUCAUCAGGCACAAAGGGACGAUCCUAGUGGGCAACAACCCUGACUUAAGAAUCAAGUUAAUCACAGCAUUGCAUAGCUCACCAGUGGGGGGCCACUCUGGCAAGAGAGCAACAUACCAGAGAAUAAAAAGUAUAUUCUACUGGCCUGGGUUGAAAGCUUCAGUGGAGAAUUUCAUUGCUGCAUGCCCCAUAUGUCAAAGAGCAAAGCAUGAAUCCUGCUUGCAACCUGGCCUCCUGGAGCCUCUACCUGUAGCUGACAUGGCCUGGCAGCACAUAUCCAUGGACUUUAUUGAGGGGCUGCCUAAUUCUCAGGGCAAGGAUGUCAUUAUGGUCAUUGUGGACAGAUUCACAAAGUAUGCACAUUUUAUUCCCUUAUCCCAUCCCUACUCUGUGCUCAGUGUAGCUCAAGCCUUUGUAGAUAACAUUAUCAAGUUGCAUGGCCCUCCCAAAAUGAUCAUUUCUGACAGAGAUAGGAUAUUCACUAGUCAGCUGUGGAAAGACAUUUUUUCUGCAUUAAAAGUGGAACUAAGGUACAACACAGCCUACCACCCACAAACAGAUGGUCAGACUGAAAGAGUUAAUCAGUGCCUGGAAACUUAUCUAAGAUGCAUGACCACCUCUGCACCUAAGAAAUGGCUGUCCUGGUUAUCUCUAGCUAAAUAUUGGUACAACUCUACCUACCACACAGCAAUAAAGAUGUCACCAUUCCAAGCCCUGUAUGGUUUCCCUCCACCACUUAUAUCAGAAUUGGCCAUUCCUGGUCCUGAUGACCCUGAAGCCCAAGACUUUCUGUCAGCAAAACAACAAAUGUUGCAACAGUUGAAGGCAAACUUGGUACUAGCUCAAAACAGAAUGAAGAAAUAUGCAGACACAAAAAGAGUUGAAAGAACUUUUCAAGUGGGAGAACCAGUCUAUCUCAAAAUGGCCCCUUAUAGACUGGCAACAUUUGGAUUCAGAGGAGCACUGAAAUUGCAAAACAAGUUUUAUGGUCCCUUCCUGGUGAUUCAGAAGGUGGGAAAUUGUGCCUGCAAAUUGCAACUGCCAAGUUCAGUGCAAAUACACCCAGUCUUCCAUGUAAGUCAGUUAAAAAGGCAUGUGGGGGACAAAUCAAUUCCAGGACCUAAUCUACCAUUGGUGAAUGCGGACGGGACAGUUAAAACAGGACCAUCUGAAGUACUACAGGUGCGCCAAAUUCCCCGCAACAAUGCACCAGUUGUCCAGUGGCUUAUCAAGUGGAUCAACCUGUCUGUUGAAGAUGCAACAUGGGAAGACGCUGAUUUCAUUAAGUAUACAUUCCCGGAUUUCUUCAGCGCCACUACGCGCGCGUGGCGAGGCAAAUCAGCAGCGCCGUGA
Molecule: ribosomal RNA, 2928 nt
Filed under: Triticum aestivum (bread wheat)
Lineage: Eukaryota; Viridiplantae; Streptophyta; Magnoliopsida; Poales; Poaceae
Description: partial small subunit ribosomal RNA
Source: RNAcentral